AGAGUUUGAUCCUGGCUCAGAACGAACGCUGGCGGCAGGCUUAACACAUGCAAGUCGAACGCGUGUAGCAAUACACGAGUGGCGCACGGGUGAGUAACGCGUGGAUAUCUGCCUUUUGGUUCGGAAUAACCCCGGGAAACUGGGGCUAAUACCGGAUGGUUCCUACGGGAUAAAGAUUUAUCGCCAAAAGAUGAGUCCGCGUCCGAUUAGCUAGUUGGUGGGGUAAUGGCCCACCGAGGCGACGAUCGGUAGCUGGUCUGAGAGGACGAUCAGCCACACUGGGACUGAGACACGGCCCAGACUCCUACGGGAGGCAGCAGUGGGGAAUAUUGGACAAUGGGGGCAACCCUGAUCCAGCCAUGCCGCGUGAGUGAUGAAGGCCUUCGGGUUGUAAAGCUCUUUUGGCGGGGACGAUGAUGACGGUACCCGCAGAAUAAGCCCCGGCUAACUUCGUGCCAGCAGCCGCGGUAAGACGAAGGGGGCAAGCGUUGUUCGGAAUUACUGGGCGUAAAGCGAGUGUAGGCGGUUGCCCAAGUCAGGUGUGAAAGCCUUGAGCUCAACUCAAGAAAUGCACUUGGUACUGGGUGACUAGAGGACCGGAGAGGAUAGUGGAAUUCCCAGUGUAGUGGUGAAAUACGUAGAGAUUGGGA
This 650-nucleotide ribosomal RNA is filed under the name uncultured bacterium. Its description in RNAcentral is "bacterial SSU rRNA". It matches the Rfam family "Bacterial small subunit ribosomal RNA", at positions 8 to 702 of the family's 1533-position model. The record is from RNAcentral.